UAGAGCCUACGGGGGGCAGCAGUGAGGAAUAUUGGUCAAUGGGCGAGAGCCUGAACCAGCCAAGUCGCGUGAGGGAAGACGGUCCUAUGGAUUGUAAACCUCUUUUGUCGGGGAGCAAAAAGACUACGUGUAGUCCCAAGCGAGAGUACCCGAAGAAAAAGCAUCGGCUAACUCCGUGCCAGCAGCCGCGGUAAUACGGAGGAUGCGAGCGUUAUCCGGAUUUAUUGGGUUUAAAGGGUGCGUAGGCGGAUUUUUAAGUCAGCGGUAAAAUGUCCGGGCUCAACCCGGGCCGGCCGUUGAAACUG
This 305-nucleotide ribosomal RNA is filed under the name uncultured bacterium. RNAcentral's name for it is "bacterial SSU rRNA". It matches the Rfam family "Bacterial small subunit ribosomal RNA", at positions 332 to 635 of the family's 1533-position model. The record is from RNAcentral.